This 919-nucleotide ribosomal RNA is filed under the name Candidatus Woesearchaeota archaeon. Its description in RNAcentral is "bacterial SSU rRNA". It matches the Rfam family "Archaeal small subunit ribosomal RNA", at positions 1 to 921 of the family's 1478-position model. Lineage: Archaea; Nanobdellati; Candidatus Woesearchaeota. The record is from RNAcentral.
AUUCCCAUUGAUCCUGUGGGAGAUUGCUGCUAUUGGAAUCCGAAUUAGCCAUGCAAGUUCAGGGGGCUCGCAAGAGUCACCGGCAUAAGGCUCAGUAACACGUCGAUAAUUUGCCCUUAGGUCUGGAAUAACCUCGGGAAACUGAGGCUAACACCGGAUAUGAGAUUGAUACUGGAAUGUUCUUUCUCAGAAAGGUAACGCCUAAGGAUAAGUCGGCGGCUGAUUAGGUUGUUGGUGAGGUAACGGCCCACCAAGCCUAGGAUCAGUAGGGGGGAUGAGAGUCCUAGCCCCGAGAAGGGCACUGAGAUACUGGCCCUAGCCCUAAGGGGUGCAGCAGGCGCGGAAACUUUACAAUGCACGAAAGUGUGAUAAGGGGAUUCCAAGUGCUUUGUCUUCGGAUAAAGCUUUUGUCAAGUGUAAGAAGCUUGGCGAAUAAGUGGUGGGUAAGACGGGUGCCAGCCGCCGCGGUAACACCUGCGCCACAAGUGGCAAUCGUAAUUAUUGGGUCUAAAGCGUUCGUAGCCGGUUUAGAAAGUCUCUUGUGAAAUUGUUGAGCUUAACUUAACAGCGUGCAAGGGAAACUUCUAAACUAGAGACUGGGAGGAGACAGAAGUAUUCCAGGGGGAGCGGUAAAAUGUUAUAAUCCUUGGAAGACUACCAGUGGCGAAGGCGUCUGUCUAGAACAGGUCUGACGGUGAGGAACGAAGGCUAGGGGAGCAAAACGGAUUAGAUACCCGAGUAGUCCUAGCAGUAAACACUGUAAGCUAUGUGUUGCAUAUUCUUUGUGAAUAUGCAGUGCCUAAGUGAAGACGUUAAGCUUACCACCUGGGAAGUACGGUCGCAAGACUGAAACUUAAAGGAAUUGGCGGGGGCUCACUACAAGGGGUGAAGAGUGCGGUUCAAUUGGAUUCCACGCCGG